Molecule: ribosomal RNA, 440 nt
Filed under: uncultured bacterium
Lineage: Bacteria
Description: partial 16S ribosomal RNA
Rfam family: Bacterial small subunit ribosomal RNA
Source: RNAcentral
CCUACGGGUGGCUGCAGUGGGGAAUAUUGCACAAUGGGGGGAACCCUGAUGCAGCGACGCCGCGUGAGUGAAGAAGUAUUUCGGUAUGUAAAGCUCUAUCAGCAGGGAUGAAAAUGACGGUACCUGCCUAAGAAGCCCCGGCUAACUACGGGCCAACAGCCGCGGUAAUACGUAGGGGGCAAGCGUUAUCCGGAUUUACUGGGUGGAAAGGGAGCGUAGACGGCAGAGCAAGGCUGAAGUGAAAGCCCGCGGCCCAACUGCGGGACUGCUUUGGAAACUGCCCGGCUAGAGUGCUGGAGAGGUAAGCGGAAUUCCUAGUGUAGCGGUGAAAUGCGUAGAUAUUAGAAGGAACACCAAUAGCGUAGGCAGGUUGCUGGGACGGUUCUGACACUAAGGCACGAAAGCGUAGGGAGCAAACGGGAUUAGAUACCCUGGUAGUC